This 80-nucleotide transfer RNA is filed under the name Podarcis lilfordi (Lilford's wall lizard). RNAcentral's name for it is "tRNA.Lys". The stretch from base 10 to 80 matches the Rfam family "tRNA". Rfam says of the family: Transfer RNA (tRNA) molecules are approximately 80 nucleotides in length. Their secondary structure includes four short double-helical elements and three loops (D, anti-codon, and T loops). Lineage: Eukaryota; Metazoa; Chordata; Lepidosauria; Squamata; Lacertidae. The record is from RNAcentral.
GCCCACCAUGUUCAUAGCUCAGUUGGUAGAGCAUGAGACUCUUAAUCUCAGGGUCAUGGGUUUGAGCCCCACAUUGGGCA